AGCGAACGCUGGCGGCAGGCCUAACACAUGCAAGUCGAACGGAUCCUUCGGGAUUAGUGGCGGACGGGUGAGUAACACGUGGGAACGUGCCCUUUGGUUCGGAACAACUCAGGGAAACUUGAGCUAAUACCGGAUGUGCCCUUCGGGGGAAAGAUUUAUCGCCAUUGGAGCGGCCCGCGUCUGAUUAGCUAGUUGGCGAGGUAACGGCCCACCAAGGCGACGAUCAGUAGCUGGUCUGAGAGGAUGAUCAGCCACACUGGGACUGAGACACGGCCCAGACUCCUACGGGAGGCAGCAGUGGGGAAUCUUGCGCAAUGGGCGAAAGCCUGACGCAGCCAUGCCGCGUGAAUGAUGAAGGUCUUAGGAUUGUAAAAUUCUUUCAGCGGGGACGAUAAUGACGGUACCCGCAGAAGAGGCUCCGGCUAACUUCGUG
RNAcentral lists this ribosomal RNA (433 nucleotides) under uncultured bacterium. RNAcentral's name for it is "partial 16S ribosomal RNA". It matches the Rfam family "Bacterial small subunit ribosomal RNA", at positions 29 to 507 of the family's 1533-position model. The record is from RNAcentral.